AGUGAACGCUGGCGGUAGGCCUAACACAUGCAAGUCGAACGGCAGCACAGUAAGCUCUUGCUCUUACGGGUGGCGAGUGGCGGACGGGUGAGGAAUACAUCGGAAUCUACUUUUUCUUGGGUGAUAACGUAGGGACACUUACGCUAAUACCGCAUACGACCUACGGGUGAAAGCAUGGGAGCUUCGGACCUUUCGCGAUUGAAUGAGCCGAUGUCGGAUUAGCCAGUUGGCUGGGUAAAGGCCCACCAAGGCGACGAUCCGUAGCUGAUCUGAGAGGAUGAUCAGCCACACUGGAACUGAGACACGGUCCAGACUCCUACGGGAGGCAGCAGUGGGGAAUAUUGGACAAUGGGCGCAAGCCUGAUCCAGCCAUACCGCGUGGGUGAAGAAGGCCUUCGGGUUGUAAAGCCCUUUUGUUGGGAAAGAAAAGCAGCAGGUUAAUACCCCGCUGUUCUGACGGUACCCAAAGAAUAAGCACCGGCUAACUUCGUG
Molecule: ribosomal RNA, 492 nt
Filed under: uncultured bacterium
Lineage: Bacteria
Description: partial 16S ribosomal RNA
Rfam family: Bacterial small subunit ribosomal RNA
Source: RNAcentral